UCUGUCAUGAGUUACUGUAAUGGCCUGAGGUGUUUGGCCUCUAGCCAGGAGGUGGCACUUGCAAGAGAGCACCAACUGCAGUAAUAGAAGGGGGAUAUAAGCUUGUGCUAAGUUGGCCAGGAUAUAGAAAUAGGACAGACAAACAGAGUGGGACGAGAAAAUUCCUUCAAGAAUCACAGUUGUUGUGGAUCUCAAGGUGAUGCAGAUUCUGGCACAGAAAGGGAAGCACCAGCCCUGUUCUCUCCAUUCCACAUGGCAGUUCCUUCCUCUCUCAGGGAUGACUGCAGUCUUCUGCCAGGCCUGGGGUUUUCUACUUCUAGCCUGGGAACUAGGAGUAAUAAGCACGACAGAGCGAUCUGCACUUGCGUCGAAGAGCUGCAUUCCGUUCCAGUGGCUUUGGACUAGAAAAUCUCCUUCCCUGUUCAUUCAGCAAGAUGAGGCAAGAGUUGUCCUGGUCAUCCAACAACAUAGGGCAUAAAGGGUCUUCCCAUGUCAUCAUCUGCUGUUAUCUGGUACACUUUCCUCUCAACCUCCGUUCCUGUAGGUACACAUGCAUGACUGGACCUCAUCCCUUCUACCCACAGAACUCAACAGUCGUCUAUUUGAGAACCAGCAGGAGGUCAUAUUCUAUAUGUCCACAUAUGUAUCUGGGGAGACUGGCUGGCUGCAAGGCUUUGUAACCACCUUCCAGGCAGAUGACAAGAUGGAACCUUCUCAACAUACACCUCAGUUAAAAGUCAAGUCAAUAAAAGCCUGGCUGCAUGAAAGAGGAUGAUACAUAAAGACUGGCUGUAUACCUUUGUUUGAUCUGAGUAAGAAAUGCGUGCAUUCAAUGAGGCCACUGAGUUUAUGAUCAAACCUCCUCGUAAAGAAUAGAGCACAGAGAAACCCAUAUUCUUACCGUGUGACAAAUGAGACUGCGAACGUGGACCCUUCUUUAAAACUCCAGCUAAUUCAGGUUGCAGAAUGAAGUGUGCCAUGUCAUAAUUAAUCCCUCAUGUAUUGCAAGCAAUUUAAUGUCAAAAUAAUCAACAGGAGCGUUUUUUACCCUUUUGUGAGUACAUAAUAAAUACUGUCAUUUAGCUGCAGCAAA
Molecule: long non-coding RNA, 1093 nt
Organism: Homo sapiens (human)
Lineage: Eukaryota; Metazoa; Chordata; Mammalia; Primates; Hominidae
Exons: 3
Source: RefSeq, a predicted model, not a curated record